Non-coding RNA from Gasterosteus aculeatus aculeatus (three-spined stickleback), 2196 nucleotides. Lineage: Eukaryota; Metazoa; Chordata; Actinopteri; Perciformes; Gasterosteidae. The record is from RefSeq and is a predicted model, not a curated record.
CACCUCCAGCAGCCCCACAAGAUGAGAGAAAUCACCAACGGCUGAUUGGAGGAUACUUCUCGGCUUCUCCCUCUGGGCGCGACGGGCUGGGCUACUGCUCUCUUCUCUAGUCCCCCAUAAUUCUUACCCACACCUCAUUUGCUACCAUCUCCCUCCUCCUUACUCCCUUUUCUGCCCUGCCUCUCCCUCUCUCUCUCUCUGCUUGUCUGCAGGCAAGGGAGCAAGCACUGGAAAGCCUGUGCACGCUGCUGGAGCGGGACAGGAGGAGAUAACCACGUGAAAGUGCAUGAAAUAUCAAGCAUGCAGACAAGCAGGGAGGUUAAUUCACCCCUGGCAUCUUAAGCCAUUAUAUGUCACCUUGAGUUCUCAUGAGAUGGUAUUGGAAAGAGAAGGAUGAUUGCACUUGUUCAAACCAGUCAAAAUGCCCAAAGCAGGCAGAGAGCUGGUGACAGGCUGCGCAUUUAGAUGAGCUUUUACGCUUCCACAAAGGAGGAGGAAAUACUGGGGGAAAUGGAGGAAAACAAGUGAAUAACAGGUGUGACAGGACGCGUUUAAAGAUAACGGAAGAGAGCCCGGGAGAGAAAAUGCAAAUGAGCGCGUGGGAGAGAAUCGAAGAAGCUGAGAUUGUGCGGUAAUCACGAUGACCUGCUGAAGAUUCAGUUGGAUAUUUGUGAUUAAGAAAACCUCUGGGCCGCACUACCAGCGCUGCUAAACACAAUAAGAGCACCGAUUUCUGCUAAUUUCCUCGUUUAAAAAAAAAGCCUUUUUGCUGCAGUGCUCCGCUGCCACGGACCUCAGAGAUCCACAGGGCCUCGAGUCAAGGAUGUCAGUAACUGAUACCAACAGCUACUUUUCUCCACACCAAGCACCUGUUUUCUACGCGGAAUCUGCAGUUUUGCUUUUAUUCCGUCGUUGCACGCUUGUCUGCUACACCAGAGAGGGAUUUAUCCGCAGAAUCAACUUCUCUGCCGGGUCACUUAUUAUGCCGCGCUCCCUCUCAUGUGCACAUCUUGACGUCCUGUGAUAGCUGGCGUUUGAUAUUUCAUUUGGGAUAUUAGUUCAAUCGGGCUUACGCGGACGAGAGACGCCCACGGCAUACUGAGUGCGCGCCACAUGCGCUUUACCCUUUCUCACACAAACACAAGCAGAAAGACGUCUCUCUCUCUCUCUCUCUCCCCCCAAUCUGUCUGCUUUAAAUCCUCCUCCCCAUCACAAAAGGUCAGCGUGCAGUGUGGAAACAUUCCGAAAUAUCAGCCGACCCGCUCCGCGAGACACCGAGGAGUAGAGGGCGUCCCGUUCAGACAGACAGGUCGGCCCGUGUGCGGCUCAUGUUGGAUCUGUCGCUUCACAUCAUCUACUCCAGAUACUUUCUUCUUGAACGGAGCAGAGAGCCGGGAGUAUGCUGCCCUUCUGUUUCUCCACUGAACUCUACCUUUGGUGUGACAUCAGCAUACGCCCGCCGGCCUUGACCCCCGCCGGGGUCAGACAUGCAAAAAGCCAAGCAGACAUUUCGUCUUCCUGGGACUUUCAAUGAGACGAUGUGUCGCGUUCUGCCAGGGAGGGUGAAGCGUCUGUCUGGUAGAAAUGUUAAUAGAAAAUUAUGUAUUCAUGAGUAAAAUAAAAAGAGACACAGUAGGAUCUACGUUUAUAAUGGGGAAGGUGGACUGCGGGGAGAUUAAAAGGGAUGAAAAUAUCUAGAGAGAAGAACAGCAGUUCUUUUCAAACACUACUUUCUUUUCACUCGGCACAGAGCUGAUAGCAGAGUAAUGGAAUACUGGCAGAAUUUUAACAGUGUUCUCAUUAUUUAUUUACUGCUCUGAGGAUAAGCGCCCCGAUACACUGCUGCAGAAAACAUGCUUUGUGGUUUUCUUUUGCGUGUACGUGUUCAUGUAUGUUUGAGUGUGUGCGUGCGUGUGCGUGUGGCGUGACUGCCACAUCGUAGCGGGGGGGAAGCGGCAGCAGCUUCAUUCACAUUCAAGAGAAGUCACUGUGUGUGUGAAAGCUAUUUCAUAGAGAAAAAGGAUGAGGGUCAUCAGCCAAGUCUGAGCGGCACCAAGUAGUAAGAAGCAGCAAUGAACUACAAAACAAGUAGAGGACACACAUCAUCUUCUGCCAACUGAUUCUUAAUAUCUGUUAUUGUACGGAGUCGGCUUGCUCUAAUAUUUCUUUCGCUGUGCUCUCUUGAAAAAAAAAAAA